GUCGGGAUUAAUGGGGAAAGAGUCGCGUGCAAAAGUUCUCCUUAAAAGAAGGACGGUAAGAGGGAAGAGUAGAUGGAAAACAUGUCGAGGAGAAGCAUAUUACGCAAGAGUAGCCAUUGAUAAGAGCUACGGCCGUAAUUUGGUAUGUGUGGAAUAGGGCCGUUUUGCGUAGUUGAUAAGUUAUACAACGGAUUUACAUGAAGGAAUCACGUGUACGGGAGCAAAUGUCAUUCGCCAACGAGGUUCUUGCUACAUGCAAUCAGCCGACAAGCGACGUUACAGAUGAAGGAA
This is a long non-coding RNA of Camponotus floridanus (Florida carpenter ant), 291 nucleotides long. RefSeq lists it as uncharacterized. The transcript has 3 exons. The record is from RefSeq and is a predicted model, not a curated record. NCBI's taxonomy places the organism in Eukaryota, Metazoa, Arthropoda, Insecta, Hymenoptera, Formicidae.